ACAGAAUGAAUGCCGAAUCCAGAGCAAGCUAAUAACAAAAGCAAAAACAAAUUUGAGCUCCACCUUCAUUUAUUCCAACCCAUACACUACAAGUAAUAGAAAUGGAACUAUUCAAUGCUAUGCAAAUCCUUGGGAAAGAAUAUUCCAGAUAUUAUGAAACAAAGCACAAAUUUACAUGAUUUUCCAAGUCAAAAUUCAUGAUGAGCAGGCACCCAAAAAAUCAUAAGCAGACAACUGACCACAUGCAGCUGAAUCCUUUCAAAUACAAAGUAUCUGUGUGUGUGAGAGAGAAAUUUUACAUAUUAAUGGCUACAAUGUAUUUGAAUUUUGAAGUAUGUAUUAUACAACAACUACAGUAGAAUCAAUCAGAAGAUUUUACAGCAGCCCCAAUUUUGUAUAAGCUUGUGUUUGGAUGGGGACUAAAAUCAGAAAUGACUGUACAUAUGCAAAACAUAAAAAACACCAAGAAUGAAAUCAUAAUAGGCAAAACCAGCAACAAAGCGAAAUAAAGAAACAUAAUAGGCAAAACUACUACAUUGCUCCAAGAAGAUGCAAAGAGAGUUAUGGCACUAAUAUAGGAUCAGAAAACGAGGAAAUCAUAUUCUCUUUCUGUCACUCUCUAUUCUACAAAAAUAGUUAACCCACUAUUUCAAUCCACCAAGAAUAAUUGAGAAUGUUAUUCCAUUAGAGAAGUCACAAAUAUGUAGCACUUACAAGUUAUAAAUGGUCAGAGUAUGCCUGAAUUUCAUCAAAUUCUAUAUCUGUUCAAGUUUUCAACCGUUGUCAAAAUAGCAAGAAAAGCACAACCUGUAACCCACCUUGUGAAACUUUAAUGGAUACUCAUUUUUAUUUCCCUCUCUUUAUUUUAUUUCAGGUCCUCAAUUUUGUUCAAAAAUUAACAUAAAAACUUCACUUAAUUAAUUUUUCUAUAAAUUAGGGGCGCAAACUUUCUCUUGCAACAGUUAACUUGUCAAACCAUAUUCUUACUAAAGAAUAUGAUUUGACACGCCACAAUAAAGAAUCGUUAUAGGCUAAAUUCUUGGUCUUCUAAGAAGAUAAGAGAGAGUUGACACGCCACAAGGAAAUCAUAUUCUUACUCUCACUCUCUAUUCCACCAAGAUCGAUUACCCACAAUCUCAAUCCACCAAGAAUGAGCAUUCUUGAGUAAUUGAGAAUGAUAUUUCAUUACCGGCACAACCCAUGAUCGAAGAACUUACAAAUAGUCAAAGUUUACCUCAAACUUACCAAAUUGUAUAUCUAUUCAAGUCUCAGAACAGAAUCACAUAUAACCAAUUAGUAAAAAAGUGACAGAACAGAAUCACAAGAUUUUAGGGUUUUGAUUUGCUUGACAAAGACAACACUUUGGUGAAAUCAGUUAGUAAAAAGAAUUUAAAUGGAAGAAAGAAAUAAAUCCCUACAAGAAUUGAAUUAGUUCUCUAUAUUCAAUGAUGAUUUCAUCAAACAAUCCCUUCAAAACAAUGACCUGAUUUGAGACAAAUUCUCUAUCUCUCAGUCUUUUGCACAUGCAACAACAACGAUAAAUCUCUCACAAUGUAUGUGUUUGAACGUAACGGUCACGCGACAACAAUAUAUAGAGUUAAGUGAACGUAAACAUCACGCAGACUUGGACGUAACGGUCACGCGAAACAUGGGCCUUGGUCCAACGCUUCAUAUGGUUUAAUUUUGGUACAACUUCAAAAAUAAUUUUUUAAUAACAUAGUACUUAAAAAAAAUUGAUAAUUCUUUUUGUAAGAUUUUUAAUAUUUUUUGUGAAACAUUUAUUAUUUUCUCGUAUUAAUAUUUUGAUUACUCUAAUUUUUAUCAUUAAGACAAACAAUUAAAUUUUAGAAAUGAAAAAUAAUAAAACUUAGUAAGUGUUUUAAAAAAUAACAAUGGUAGAGAAAGAAAGACCUGAUAUAUCAGUUGUCCUUGGAUAUUAUAACAUCUUUAUAUUUCUUUUCUUUGGAGGAACCACUUAAGCUUUUACAUCAUGUCCCCCAUCUUGACUCUCGUUGUUAUGGCUUC
Molecule: long non-coding RNA, 2025 nt
Filed under: Lupinus angustifolius (narrow-leaved blue lupine)
Lineage: Eukaryota; Viridiplantae; Streptophyta; Magnoliopsida; Fabales; Fabaceae
Description: long non-coding RNA (LANG_LNC003726)
Source: RNAcentral